Molecule: long non-coding RNA, 710 nt
Filed under: Equus caballus (horse)
Lineage: Eukaryota; Metazoa; Chordata; Mammalia; Perissodactyla; Equidae
Description: lncRNA (ENSECAG00000046466.1)
Source: RNAcentral
CCUCAAAAUAGUGAAAGGCUUGUGGCUGUGCUCAGUAACUUCCACCCUCCCCUCCUUUUCUUCCUUCCUUAUGAAAUUCCCUGCUCAGCGCCUCAGUCUGCCUUUGCUACUUGCAACACCUGCAGCCAAGAAGCAGGUGGUGUUUACUCUGGGCCCACACAGGCCUGAAGCCCUCUACGCUGUGGGAGCCCAGGAAGGGCCCGGCAGGCAGAAUGACUGAGAACUGGGAGGCAGGACUGACAGUUUUUCAGCCUCUUGGUAAGAGGUUCUGCAAGUGGGGUGACUAUCAGUCCUCGUUUGUCUUGGAUAGCUUCAGUUUGGCCUGUUGUUCUGGUGUCCAGUCCAAGCUUCAGAAAGUUCCAGUAGCUGUCGUGCACGUAGCUUUGAAUCCAACUGCCUGGGUCCAGCUUAGAUGCUGAGAAAUCUUACGCAAGGCAUUUCCUGACUCUGGCAGUUAUUUACUGAGGGAUUCCUGCGUGCCGACACUGCACAUCGGUGAACUCAAGCAGCCCUCAAAAUAAAGCCACAAACCGAUAUUUGACGCCUCCACUUCAUCGAUGAGCAACGUGCUAACUCCCUAAGACCACACAGCUGAGUCGAGGAAACAACGAGAUUUAAAGUCAAAUCUUUGGGAUUCUCAAGCUGAUCUUUCCCCACCAUAUUAUACUUUCUUUCAUGGAGUAAUGAAUAAAACAUACAUUUCAAACAAG